This 568-nucleotide ribosomal RNA is filed under the name uncultured bacterium. RNAcentral describes it as "partial 16S ribosomal RNA". It matches the Rfam family "Bacterial small subunit ribosomal RNA", at positions 355 to 914 of the family's 1533-position model. The record is from RNAcentral.
UGGGGAAUUUUGGACAAUGGGCGAAAGCCUGAUCCAGCAAUGCCGCGUGUGUGAAGAAGGCCUUCGGGUUGUAAAGCACUUUUGUCCGGAAAGAAAUCCUUGGCCCUAAUACAGUCGGGGGAUGACGGUACCGGAAGAAUAAGCACCGGCUAACUACGUGCCAGCAGCCGCGGUAAUACGUAGGGUGCAAGCGUUAAUCGGAAUUACUGGGCGUAAAGCGUGCGCAGGCGGUUUGCUAAGACCGAUGUGAAAUCCCCGGGCUCAACCUGGGAACUGCAUUGGUGACUGGCAGGCUAGAGUAUGGCAGAGGGGGGUAGAAUUCCACGUGUAGCAGUGAAAUGCGUAGAGAUGUGGAGGAAUACCGAUGGCGAAGGCAGCCCCCUGGGCCAAUACUGACGCUCAUGCACGAAAGCGUGGGGAGCAAAACAGGAUUAGAUACCCUGGUAGUCCACGCCCUAAAACGAUGUCAACUAGUUGUUGGGGAUUCAUUUCCUUAGUAACGUAGCUAACGCGUGAAGUUGACCGCCUGGGGAGUACGGUCGCAAGAUUAAAACUCAAAUGAAUUGAC